This 918-nucleotide long non-coding RNA is filed under the name Aquila chrysaetos chrysaetos. Its description in RNAcentral is "lncRNA (ENSACCG00020010297.1)". The record is from RNAcentral. Lineage: Eukaryota; Metazoa; Chordata; Aves; Accipitriformes; Accipitridae.
GCCGCGGGCGGCGGGUGAGGGGGGACGGCGGCCAUCGGCCCCCCCACCGCACCGGCGGCGCGUCCGUUCCUUCUCGCCGGCUGCAGCCCGGUCACCGGCACGACCGGCCCCCGGCGAGCUAGUUACCCUUCCUUCUGACUUAGGGUGACUUGCUGCCGCCCUCACCUCAGCCACCGCGUCUGGCAUCAGCAACCUCCGAGGCCUGCGGCCGGCUGCCCCUGCCCUCCCUCCUCUGCCCGCAUCGACCCCAGGAGCCUAAAUCUGGUGGUGUAAACAUGACAAGGAAAGCUGAUUUCAAGCAGAGACUGAGCACCAUUUGUAACCAUAGCUGUUAUUACAAAUGAGGUCAUCCAUAUUAGAAUGAAGAUCUGCAGCCAAUAAAAAAUGUGUGGGUUGAAAACAUCCACAACAUCACCAAGAGCCGCCUUCUUUCAAUCUGCUGAAAAUGCCAGUGAGCCACCUCCCUUGGUCUUCCAUCUUCGGGAUAUUAUGUGCUCCCAGUCCUGGGGAGGGUCUCAGGGAAAAGGCUAGAUCAACUGAUGAGAAGUGCCAGAAAAGCUGUCAUCAAUGAAUACCUGCAUUUGUGAAUAAUUUCCAUGUAGCCUUUCAGAUGUGGGAACCUUGGCACCCAUGUAGAAAAAUAUUACUACAUUGAAUCCACUGAUGUUUCCUUACCGUGAACAAUUCAAAUAUGACGUAUAAACUGCCAGCACAGUCCUUGAUAAAACAAAAUUGAUACUCUGCAAAAGCUGUUUUUACACUCUUCCCCAUAUGGUCUAACUGCACGCCAAAUAAAAUCAUCGAGAAUAUAGGGUUAUAACAACAUUUGUUUGUUGUGCUUGAAAAUUGAUGUCAACGUCCUAUACACGUCCUCUAACUAUAGCAAAACAGUAAAAAAGUCACACCACAGCAUGCAUG